AGAGUUUGAUCCUGGCUCAGGACAAACGCUGGCGGCGUGCUUUAAACAUGCAAGUCGAACGGACCAGGGUCUUCGGGCUCUGGUGAGUGGCGAACGGCUGAGUAAGACGGCGCUGACCGAUCCGGGCGUGGGGAAUAACACCGGGAAACCGGUGCUAAGACCGCAUGCGCUCACUGUGCUUGCGGGCGAGUGAGGAAAGGCUUUCUUCGGAGAGUCGCGCGCGGGCGGGGCGCUGGCCCAUCAGGUAGUUGGGGGGGUAAGGGCCCACCAAGCCGACGACGGGUAGCUGGUCUGAGAGGAUGAUCAGCCAGACUGGGACUGCGACACGGCCCAGACUCCUACGGGAGGCAGCAGUUAGGAAUCUUGCGCAAUGGGCGAAAGCCUGACGCAGCGACGCCGCGUGGAGGACGACGGGUUUCGGCCUGUAAACUCCUUUUCACCGGGACGAGAACGGACGGUACCGGUGGAAUCAGCCCCGGCUAACUACGUGCCAGCAGCCGCGGUAAUACGUAGGGGGCGAGCGUUGUCCGGAUUUACUGGGCGUAAAGAGCGCGCAGGUGGCUACGUGCAGUCCGUCGUUAAAGCCCGGGGCUCAACUCCGGGUGGUCGACGGGAAACGGCGUGGCUGAUGAGGGCGGUAGAGGAAGCACGGAAUUCCCGGUGUAGUGGGUGAAAUGCGUAGAUUCGGGAGGAACAACCCGUGGCGAAGGCGGUGCUCUGGGCCGACCCCUGACGCUGAGGCGCGAAAGCGUGGGAGCGAACCGGAUUAGAUACCCGGGUAGUCCNACGCCCUAAACGGUGCCACUUAGGUGCGGGGGNACCGACCCUUCCCGUGCCGUUCGCUAACGCAUUAAGUGGCCCGCCUGGGGAGUACGGCCGCAAGGCUAAACUCAAAGGAAUUGACGGGGGCCCGCACAAGCAGCGGAGCGUGUGGUUCAAUUCGACGCGACGCGAAGAACCUUACCAGGGCUUGACAUGCGGCUUACAGCGGGUGAAAGCCCGUGCCCGCAAGGGGUGUCGCACAGGUGCUGCAUGGCUGUCGUCAGCUCGUGCCGUGAGGUGUUGGGUUAAGUCCCGCAACGAGCGCAACCCUCGCUGGUAGUUAGAUGAUCUACCGGGACUGCCGGGACCAACCCGGAGGAAGGUGGGGAUGACGUCAAGUCAGCACGGCCCUUACGCCCUGGGCUACACACACGCUACAAUGGCGCGGACAACGGGUUGCCAAGCCGCAAGGCGGAGCUAAUCCCCCAAACCGCGCCUCAGUUCAGAUCGGGGGCUGCAACACGCCCCCGUGAAGGCGGAGUUGCUAGUAACCGUGGGUCAGCACACCGCGGUGAAUACGUUCCCGGGCCUUGUACACACCGCCCGUCACGUCACGAAAGCGCGCAACACCUGAAGCCGGUGGCCGAACCGCAAGGGCGGAGCCGUCGAAGGUGGGGCGGGUGAUUGGGACGAAGUCGUACAAGGUAGCCGUACCGGAAGGUGCGGCUGGAUCACCUCCUU
RNAcentral lists this ribosomal RNA (1503 nucleotides) under uncultured bacterium. RNAcentral describes it as "bacterial SSU rRNA". It matches the Rfam family "Bacterial small subunit ribosomal RNA". The record is from RNAcentral.